This 250-nucleotide ribosomal RNA is filed under the name uncultured Pseudomonas sp. RNAcentral describes it as "partial 16S ribosomal RNA". It matches the Rfam family "Bacterial small subunit ribosomal RNA", at positions 103 to 354 of the family's 1533-position model. Lineage: Bacteria; Pseudomonadati; Pseudomonadota; Gammaproteobacteria; Pseudomonadales; Pseudomonadaceae. The record is from RNAcentral.
CGGGUGAGUAAUGCCUAGGAAUCUGCCUGGUAGUGGGGGACAACGUUUCGAAAGGAACGCUAAUACCGCAUACGUCCUACGGGAGAAAGCAGGGGACCUUCGGGCCUUGCGCUAUCAGAUGAGCCUAGGUCGGAUUAGCUAGUUGGUGAGGUAAUGGCUCACCAAGGCGACGAUCCGUAACUGGUCUGAGAGGAUGAUCAGUCGCACUGGAACUGAGACACGGUCCAGACUCCUACGGGAGGCAGCAGAU